CACGUAGUUAGCCGUGACUUUCUAGGUAAUUACCGUCAAAUAAAGGCCAGUUACUACCUCUAUCUUUCUUCACUACCAACAGAGCUUUACGAGCCGAAACCCUUCUUCACUCACGCGGCGUUGCUCCAUCAGACUUGUGUCCAUUGUGGAAGAUUCCCUACUGCUGCCUCCCGUAGGAGUUUGGGCCGUGUCUCAGUCCCAAUGUGGCCGAUCAGUCUCUCAACUCGGCUAUGCAUCAUUGCCUUGGUAAGCCGUUACCUUACCAACUAGCUAAUGCACCGCAGGUCCAUCCAAGAGUGAUAGCAGAACCAUCUUUUAAACUCUAGACAUGCGUCUAGUGUUGUUAUCCGGUAUUAGCAUCUUGUUUCCAGGUGUUACUCCCUAGUCUCGUUGGGCUAGGUUACCCACGUUGUUACCUCCACCCGUCCGCCGUCUAGCUUGUAUUCUUAGUUUCUAUUUUAGUGACAAGCAACUAAAAUCAUCUAGCAAGCUCGCUCGACUUGCUAU
This 507-nucleotide ribosomal RNA is filed under the name uncultured Lactobacillus sp. RNAcentral describes it as "partial 16S ribosomal RNA". Lineage: Bacteria; Bacillati; Bacillota; Bacilli; Lactobacillales; Lactobacillaceae. The record is from RNAcentral.